UUGUUCUUCAAAAAGUAGAAAAAUAAUAAUCGGUGUUAGAGUUUAGAUAAGUGUCUAUUUAAAUAUAUUUGAUAUUUUUGUCCGCUAGUCAGAACAGCCCACUUGAGGUUGUCGCGGCUUGCGCUCGGCAACCAACGUUAGAGCGUGGUCAUGUCUGUCUGGUGAACAAAUCAUUUAAAGUCUGAUCAGCGUUAUCUUUAUUAGAAAAGUAAUCGAUGUUUAAAUAUAUUGUUAUUUCAAAUCAAUAGACUGAAUGUUAUACAAGGUAGUGUAGUGUACAUAUUCAGAGAUAUAAUAUCGAUGUGUUGACUAGUGUAUACUGUGUUAGUAAUAUUAUUAAGAAAAAACAAUUGUCUUCGAAUGCUGAAAAACAAGUAGUUCACAUAGAAUAACAGAUAUGUUUAUACAUACGUCUGUCAAUUAUAGAACGUAUAUCUUGCUUGUAAAUACUAUAUCAGUGUAUAUAGGCGUCUAUCAGUGUAGUAGGAUUCUAGAAUAAUGUUAGGUGACCAUCGUUCGCACUAGUUAAGUCAUCACUCCUGAUUACUUGCAACCGGCGCUGGUUCUUAACACGCUUUUACUAGCAUCACUUGUAAAUAACUAUGUUAGAAAAUCUUGGAAUCAAAAUUUUUAUCAACAGCCGUUCCGUCUGAGCUGUUGACGUAUUCCAAGUCGAGCCGAAACCCUAAAGAAGGAAAACGUAUUUAUUUCAAAUCACAGGUACCUGAAACAAACUCACUUAAAUAAGCUACGCAUACGUUUUAUUUCAUAACUUGUUACGUUAUUAGUUUCAUAAUUUGUCCUCAUAAAUACUAAGUCAAUCCAGUCUGAUAUAAAAUCUGUAUGGAUCCAAUCUAAGUACCUGAAUUUAAAGAUAAAAAUAAACUUCUGAAAAUAGACUGACAAAUACGCGCGUCAAUUUCUUAUUUUUUAACUUUUCUCAGGGUAUUUUAAAUAAAAUCUCGACAUAAUUUAGGUUCAGAAAUAAAGUUAAAUUAAUAAAAAAUAGUUUCGACCUUUUGGAAGUUUUUAACUUUCUACACUUUUUCAAACUUUACGGCGAUCUCUUGUAUUAGGUAGUCAACAAAAUUAAAAUUAGAAUUCAUACAAAUAUAAGUAGGAUUUUUUUUGUCCGAUAACUGAAGAUCUUAUACAAAAAUUCUUACGUUGACGUAAGAAAACUUACAAGUUAACCAAAUUUCGUUCCGGCACCCGGUGUGGUGGCGGAAACUAAAACUGCUUUUAUCUAUAUAGCAACCAUAACUUUGGUAUAGAUUUAAUAUGUACUCAAAUCGACCUCGUGAGCCUCUUCCAUUUCAAUGUCAUUAAACCAUUUAAAAUGUUUCUUCUAAAAUACAACGUUAUAAACCGACAAUUCGGUCUUAGUUCUGGAAAAUGUAGAAAAACAUCUGUGUUAGAGUGUAGAUAGGUUGGCAUAGAUAUAUUGAAUAUUUCUGUCCUCUAGUAAGAGCAGAUCCCGUGGGGUUGCCGCGCUCUUGCUCAGGGCAACCAACAUUAAAGCGUGGUCUGUUGGUGAAUAGAUUACUUGACGAUUUAUAUUAAUCAAUACACUUAAUGUUACUGGAGUAAGGAUCGUGUAAAUAAUGGACUUAGGUAAUAUCUAUAUAGACGUGCAUGGAUGUUUUACAUACGUGUGUCAUAAUAGGUAUAACUAGAGUGUAAGUUGUUUGUCUAUCUUAUGUUAAUGAGCGUCAGUGUGAUAGUAGACGUAGACUAAUGGUAGUAUUUGUAGGUAGCUUUCAAUAGAAUAUACUAUUGUAUUCGAUUACAAAGUCAGACCCCAGUUAUUUUUAUUAACCGUGAUGAUUUAUAAAUAUCACGGUUUAUCAAUUCUAUUAGGUUACGAAAGUCACCCCCCCCCCCACCCCCCAGUUAUUAAAUUUUUAACUAUAAUUCCAUUAGGUUACGAAAGUCACACCUCAGUUAUUAAGCGUGGUAAUUUUUUAACUAUUAUUAUAUUAAGUUACGUAAAUCACAUCCCAGUUAUUAAAAGAGUGAUAAAUUGUAUAAAGCUAUUUUUUUGGAUUAGGCUAGGUUAAACAAUGUAAUUUAGGGACUAGUAUUUAGAUUCCUACCUCAUACAAAAUGUUUUAGAAUAGUUAAGGCAAAAUAAUAACUUCAACUUGUACAUUCAAAAGUUAUUAUAGGUUAAGUUAGGUGUACUUUAGUAUUAGGUUCUGAGGAGGCAAUAGACAGUGUUCUCUGAACAAAUAUGGUUUCCGCGAUCAGGUCCUGUAGACAAGUAACAUUUACGCGAGCGCUAAAGCUACUGAAUCGCUCUGUCAUGUUGAACUCACAUUCUAUUCGCUACUCGUUUCUCAAGCGAUGCAUCAUUCUUUGUCUAGGCCUUCAGAGGUGUUCGCGUCAAGCGACUUUCACAUUUAUGCCUUUUGGUCCAUGGAUAUACUGUCAAUCGGCUUUUCAGCAAUUAUGUCUAAUUAUCGUACUUCUAGUUAGUUAAGUUAGUUGGUUACGUCUUGUAUAUAUGUAGUGUUUAGUGUAAGACCCCGGCGUAGGGAUGUGACGACCCCAGCGCCCACCAUGGCAACAGCUGCCAGUGCAAUGGUCGCACUCACUGGAGGUGUUGCCGCGGCGCAACAGUCGGCACCAGAUAGCGAGACACUGAGCCUCCGCUAGCAACGUCAUCGGUGCAAAGGCCUGGACUAAUCGGCCAUUGUUUUUUUACUUUUCGUAUUUUGGUUGUGGUGUUCAGUUCGCCCGUUAUGACUCUCCAUAACGGUUUUAUUUCAAACGUCGUUAUUUUAUUUUAGUGAGAGAACGUUCCUACAAUAGUUACAGUUUCUUUCUCGGGUCACUGUAACUUUUGUAGAAGCGUUUGUCAGUACCAUUGCCUCCAAUAACAUCGACGGUGCAAGGGCUAAGAACAUCGGCCAUUUUGUUUAUGUUUUUUCGUGUUUUCGGCGUCGGGAAUGUGACGACCCCAGCGCCCGGUACUGCGCUGAUACAGUGGUGUCACCGUGCCACUGUAGCCCCGAAGUAAUGCACAAGUCUCUAGGUACGGUUUUACUACGUUCAGUAAUUUCAGUUAUUAGCUUCUGUUCUUGUCUCUUUUUGUUGACUUCUCUUAGGUUCAUUUCAGUUGUUACAACGUACCUAGUUCUAAGUUCAAAGUUAUUUGAUUACGAAUUCAUUGUUUUUGUCGUUUUGGUUCAAACGGUGAAGUUAUUUUAGCCUGGGGAAGUGACGACUCCAGUGCCGCUGUGCAAGUGCAGCAAAUACAGUGCUUCUUCAGAUCCACUGUAUUUGAUGUAGAGCACCAAUAAGCACCCUGAGGCAAUGUCUGACACUCUCACGUGUUACGUAUGCUGAGUUAGCUAAGUUCAUUACGAUAUCAUUUACAUACCUUUGAGUUUGUUGAGUUGUCGUCAUAAAGUUUUAAUAUUUAAAAUAAUACUUAACCCGAUUAUGUUCCUCAAUUAAAUUGUUUGAGAGAGUUUGCUAAUUCGGCGUAGAGAUGUGACGGACUCAUCGCCCGUCUGAGCAACGAUUUCAGUGGAUCUGUUUGACCGCUGAAAUCGUUGCGCUCAUGCAAGUAGUCCGCGCCGGGCAAACGUUUUGUUCGUCGCUUUAGUAUUUUCAUUUGCUAGGUAUGUUUGCAUUCGCUGCGUGUUUAGGUUGUUUGUGUUCGCUUCGGAACGGAUACAGUGAUGCGACGUGUGUCGCUGUAUCUGUUUGAGGAGCGCCGUGUCAGCUUGCCAGCUCUGGUGACUGACACCUCUUAGCUAUGCUUUGCGUGUAGGUUCCGUUUCUUACAUUGUUCCUUGCGUAUCCUCGUUUAUUAUACUCAGUUGUUCUAAGUUGGUAUUUAGUUUUUUUCAUGGAAGAAAAAUCUAGCGCAAGUAGCCAUCAGUUGAAUUAUAUAAUUUCGCGUCUUCAUUCUUCAUAAUUUAAUUUUAUUUAAACAAAAUUGCGCUAAGGUGUAUCUAUUACACUUAAAAUCUCAAAUUGAAAAAAAUUUUUGAUGGUGUAUUAGGAUACUGGUAAAAUAAACGAAGUAAAAUAUACUAUACGUAUAGAUUUGACUAAUAUAGAACAAUAUUAAUAAAAUAUUGAGUUACCGUAAGUAAAUAAAUAAAAAAUAUAAUUGGAUAAUUACGUAAGAGUAAAUCAUUGAUACUUAUUAUAGUAAGAAUAGCGACAGUCACAAUAUAGCUGUCAUAACUAACAUAAGAUGGUAGAAUUAAUAAAAUAAUAAAAAACGUUAAAAUCAGAAAAAAAAAUAGUUAGUAAUUUAAGAAUGUUAAUAUACUGUCAGAGGCCGCAAAAGGGAGGAUAAAAUAGACGAAAACAAUACUAGUUAUAGCUUGGCAAAAAAGAGUAUGGAUUUAACGAGGUCGCUAGUAGCGCACAUGUGGCAACCCGGAAUUCUACGAAUAAACGGUUUUGCUACUUGUCAUUUUUGGGGACUUUUUUAAAGUGGGAAGUCAUCUAGUUAUAACUUCUCCCGCUCUAGGGGGAACUACCCGAACUUUGCGAACCUAAUCCUAGUGUACAGGGGUAAUGAAAGGGCAUGAUUUGCUUUAAGAUCUAAAACAACAUAACAGUACUUUAGCAUGAAAUUAAAUUUCACCCUUGAGGAUCAAGUCAUGGGGAAUAGUGAACAUCAUGAUUUGUCAAACAACAAAACAUAACCUCAAUUUAAAUUCCUGGAAAUUUAUUUAAAGCAUAAUUACUUGUUUAGAUCACAUAAAUACCUGUCAUAUCAGCCGUUCUUUGAUAAACAUUGUUGAUAUCGGACAAAACUUGUCCCCUGCGGAUUCGGCUACACACCGCAAAAGAACUUUAUAAAUCACUUCUCUGUCACUACUACGAAUACUCUAAUUCAUUUGAAAUGGUUAAUCAUGCACCAAAAGUUGGUAAAAUCUAUGAAGAACGACUAGAAUACGCACUGUCGACUAAUGUUGUCAAACUCUUAUUUGCCAAGCUAUAAAUAUGUUCUAACUAUAACUGUAAAUAGAGUAUAGAUUAAUUAAGAAUUAAUAUCCAUAGCAAUAUUAAGAAUUAUCAUAACAUGUAGGAAUAACUUGGACUUUUUUACUUUAUUCAAUAAAAUCAGCUUAUUUUGGCCCACUGCGGACAUAGGCCUUCCAUUGGUCGAUUUUUUACUUAGCUUUCUAUUUAUACUUUCAAAUUAAAAUCUGUACGUUUGUUUUGCUGAAACUCGAGAAUUGCCGGACUACUAAUGAAAAAAAAAGCAAAGAAAAGAAUCUAGUUGGAAAUUGUCACUUGCUUAUCAAUUUUAAAUUCCACGAAAUGAAAAGAGAUCUCUCAUUGCAACACUAAAAUUUAAUCAGGCAACGAACAAUGACACCGUGAACCAGUUUGAAUACGAAUCCAUAAGAAUACCAAAAUUAUACCCAGACUAAAAAUUAAGGAAAGAUCUAGUUAUCCUUAUAAUCUAAAAAAAAAUAUAGAACGGUUUCCCUCUAAUAUAACUUCAUUAUCACCAAUAAUACUUCAUUAUCAUCGACAUAAUUCAUCUUCUUCCUCUUCCUCAAAGAAAAGAAGAAUUAAUUACCUUGGGCAAAGAAUCAAAAGCAAUUUCCGAAAAAUAGCACUGGUGGUCAUUUCAGUCCAAGAAUGCACGGAUAGCCGAGUGGUUGAGAUCAUCACGCCUAAUCCACUGUGCGUUUCGUCACAAACAUUAGUGUGAUCCACAAAUGCUUGUUCUGGGUCUGGGUGUCGAUGUACACGUGAUUUGUAUGUUUGAGGAAACCCAGCGACACAAGGCUUAAAUUCGUUACUGCGGGAGUCAAAAAAAUUCAGGUGUCAGGUCCGGCCAAACAACUUGAGUUAUAUCAAUACUACGAACAGCAGUUAACCUUUAGGUAUAGCGUCGCCCCCUACUAUUUUGUGACCUAUUACAUCAUUGGUGAAACACGAAUGAGCAGAAUGGUGACACAUAGAAUUCAGAGGAUUGCAGGUCUUGCGGUUAAUAUGUUUAAGGACUUAGAUUAAGUAUGUGUGUGCUGUGUACGAGUAUGUGUGUGUGAGUACGUGUGUGAGAGCAGUAGGAUACAACAGCGGCGUAUUAAAAGUUAACAUGCAUUAAAAUUUGUAUAUAUGUAGUAUGUAGUGUAUAUUCCAUUUAUUCCAUAAAGAUAUUAUAUUUUUGUAUGCGAUAGAAUUAGUCGGGUACGACGUGACGUUAUUAAUAUGUAGGUGGUAGAGUAAGCAUAUUAGUGUAGUUCUUGAUAUAUCUCUAUAAAAUAUUCUGCAGACAUCCCAAAAUUGAACAUUAUAAAAUAAAAGUACUUGUCAAAAUAUCGGAACUGUUUUCACUCUCUGAAGCUUCUUGAUAACAAAACUAUCAUCUCUAUAAAAAAGAGAAAUAUAAAGAGAUUCUAAAUUUAAAUACAAACAAAAAGAAAAAAUCCUACAGUACAAAUCUAAUUUUGAUACACAAUAUUAAGGUAUUUAAAACUGUUCAUUGAUAUCAAAAUCAUUUUUUUUUAAUUCAUUCAGGCCGUUUUCCAGGCACUUUUAAAACGUUAGUAGUAGUUUGUUAGUAAAUAGUUAUUGUAUAGUUUUAAGGCGAAGACUAGUCUAAGAAGCUGGUCUUUAUACCUCAACGUCUGCAAUCCUUUGUAUAGUAUGUGGUACCGAAAUUUCGUUCAUUCGUUCUUCAUCCGUGAUAAUAGUAGGUCACAAAAAGGGUAGGGGGCGAGACGCGUUUAAUACUUUACGAAAAAUAACAUCCACGACUUUUUGUACUUACAUGCUCUUCAGGUAAACAGUUUACUAUUCCAUCGUCGGUAAACAACGCCAUCUAGUGUAGAAAUAGAAAAAAAAAUCUAAAUGUUGGAUUUAUAGCGACAGAUCUGUACAUGAUUGUAGUAAUAUUUGGCUAUUUUGUUUAGUUAUUCAACGCCGAAGCGUGCCUUAACAUAGAUUUUAUAGAGUGCGCCACUGUCUUUGCAGACUGUGGUGCAAAUAUAACGCCUAUAGACUUAUUCUUUAGCCAGUUAAUUUUUGUACAUUUCGGUAAAUUUCGUGUUUUCCAUUGUUUCGUCGUUCGUUUGGAUUACGUUGAUAAUUGUUGCCUUUAAAUAAUUUCGUCGUUUUAAUAUUCUUUACUUAGGUUUCUAUUAUUCAUUCGUAACAUUUAAAUAUUUUCUCUAAAUAGUUUGAUUUGUAUACGUUUUUAAAUUGAGUUAGUUUUAUUAGGCGCUGACCGGACAACGGAUAAUUUGUUAGUAGAAAUAAAUUAUCACUCAUGGCCUUUGGUUGCCGUUGAAAUUGAUCACGGCAACCAAGAGUUGGGAGAGGUAAUUUGUAUCUACAAAAGUUGUGUGUCUUCCGACCAGCAUCUUAGUCUUUUUCGUUACAUUUUCCGGCGUAGGACGUGACGCACCCACCGCCCGCGGCGGCAACAGCUGCAGUGUCGUCACUGCAGGUGUUGACGCGGUGCAAGCAGUCGGCACCAGGAGCGAGCCGCUACCAGCGGCGCCCAGGUGGCGGGGCGAGCGCGGCGGAGCUCUUGGUGACACUCGAAAACAUGCCUUGUAGCUGUCGUUAUAAGGCCCACUAAUGUUUGGCAAGAGAUGUCAUCUUAUGGUUGCCCAUUGGUGACGUCAUAGUUUGUCCAACAUUAGUGGCCUCCAUAAGGACAGCUCGCAGCUCUCGAGUGUCACACAGAGCUCCCCGCGCCCCGCCACCUGCGCGCUUGCCCCGCGGCUGCGCGCGCUACAUCGUCGGUGCUUCGGCCUGGACUAUUCGGCCGCAAGUCAGUGACGCGAAAGACAACCUUACUCCAUCUUAAUAAGGUUUUAUUCUAGGACUACACGUAUUCUGAUAAAAACCAGCAACUCACGGCGGCGUAUAAAAUUUCUCAAAAAUCAGAUAAGAAUUAGUCCUAUUGAUAAAUCAUGUCUAAAUUAAUCUAAAAUAAGUCUAAAUUUUAUUUUGUAAAAAUUAAAGUAUAUAGUAAUAUACUUAUCGAGUGCUUAUCGAAUGGGGACUUGUGCAACACAUGUUAACUGAAGCGAAUAUUUUCACAAUAUUUGCGCUUACCAAAAACUGGUAUACGUAAAACAGGUAUACUGGCAGGCGAGUGCACUUUUAGUUGUGGCCUCAAAAAUAAACUCAUAAGCACCAAACAAAAACACAAAUGAAAGAUUUAGUAAUUGAUAAUUACAAUGUACACCAACUUAACAAUAAACGUAAUAAUGAUAUUGCGAAUUAAAAUUGAUCUAUUCGGCUGUACCAACUAAACUUUCACAGUGAAGGUUUCAUAUUAUACCGAAAUUAUUGCAAAAAAAUUAGGCGUGCCUCAAAUAAAAUCCUGUAUCGAAUCAUAAAAAUUUCCUUUGCAAAGAGAGAUGAUCCCGGCGUAGGACGUGACGCACCCACCGCCCGCGGCGGCAACAGCUGCAGUGACGUCACUGCAGGUGUUGACGCGGUGCAAGCAGUCGGCACCAGGAGCGAGCCGCUACCAGCGGCGCCCAGGUGGCGGGGCGAGCGCGGCGGAGCUCUUGGUGACACUCGAAAACAUGCCUUGUAGCUGUCGUUAUAAGGCCCACUAAUGUUUGGCAAGAGAUGUCAUCUUAUGGUUGCCCAUUGGUGAUGUCAAAGUUUGUCCAACAUUAGUGGCCUCCAUAAGGACAGCUCGCAGCUCUCGAGUGUCACACAGAGCUCCCCGCGCCCCGCCACCUGCGCGCCUGCCCCGCGGCUGCGCGCGCUACAUCGUCGGUGCUUCGGCCUGGACUAUUCGGCCGCAAGUCAGUGACGCGAAAGACAACCUUACUCCAUCUUAACAAGGUUUAGGGACUACUCACACACAUUCAGCUUUAUUCAGCUCAUGUCCAUAGAGAGCAAUGACUUUCUAUGGACAUGAGCCGAAUAGAGCUGAAUAAGUGUGAGUAGUCCCUUAGUCUAUCACUGACGUUCAAACGCCUGCACUGAAGGCAAUUGUUAGGUUAUUAUUGUUAUAGUGUUGUUACAUAUUUAACUGUUACAUUUGAUACACGGCGGCGUAAAUAAAAUCUCAAAAAAUCAGAUACUUCUAUUGAUACAGCAUGUCUAUAUAAUAAAAAAACAACAUAAAGUUAAAAGUAUAUUGUUAUACUUAUCGAAUGGGGACUUUGCAACACAUGUCAACUUAAGAAAAUAUUUUCACAAUAUUUGCGCAGAACAACCUUUGGAAAACUGGCAUACUGUUAGACGAGUGCAAUUUAUCUGCGGCCUCAAAAAUAAUCACAUAAGAAACAAAUUAAAUCUGAAAUGAAAUAUUCAAUAAUGGAUAAUUACAAAUUGUUAACCAAAUUACUAAAAAAAAAAACAAUAAUUCUAUUGCAACCUAAAAUUGAUCUAUUCGGCUGUAACAACUAAACCUUCGUAGUGAAAUGUUCAGAUGAAAAAUUAUUACUUGAAUAAUAAGCGUGCCUCAAAUAAAAUCCUGUAUCGAAUCAUCAAAAACGCUAAUUUCAAUAGAACCUAGCAGUUUCGGAGAAUUUAUAAUAAUUGAAAAAUUCAUUUGCACAAUUUCAACCCUGAAUAUUACGUCAGGCUCAAAUAGUGUCUUAACUCAAAAAACAAAAACAGAUGUACUUGCGUAAUAUCUUCAAAAAAACCAUGGAUGCGUUUGCCAAAAAAAAAUCUAAGAGAAAUAUCCUAGCUAGUUACUACGACAUCUUAAAAAACAAAAUCUCCUGUAAGUCAGUCAAAUAAAAAUUGUCCAUGGAAGUUGUACCAAACGUUCGAAAUAAAAAGUAAUUUACACAUUGAACGUACUUUAAACUUGCAAUCUGAAUUUCGUAACUCUCGACUACAUAAUGGUGCAAGCAGAAUUUCGAUGUACCCAGUUAAAAUAAUACAAAAUCUAAAAUAAAAUAAAAAUAAUCAAGUCAGGCACAGAAGGUUGAAUCCUUUAAGAACAAAAAGUUAGUCUAAUAUCAAGAAGUAAAGUUGUUUUUGUUGAAACUGUUAAAUUAGGUAGUUACAUCUAGUUGAGUUGUUGUUAAGGGAGAUGAUCCCGGCGUAGGACGUGACGCACCCACCGCCCGCGGCGGCAACAGCUGCAGUGACGUCACUGCAGGUGUUGACGCGGUGCAAGCAGUCGGCACCAGGAGCGAGCCGCUACCGGCGGCGCCCAGGUGGCGGGGUGAGCGCCGCGGAGCUCUUGGUGACACUCGAAAACAUGCCUUGUAGCUGUCGUUAUAAGGCCCACUAAUGUCUGGCAAGAGAUGUCAUCUUAUGGUUGCCCAUUGGUGACGUCAUAGUUUGUCCAACAUUAAUGGCCUCCAUAAGGACAGCUCGCAGCUCUCGAGUGUCACACAGAGCUCCCCGCGCCCCGCCACCUGCGCGCCUGCCCCGCGGCUGCGCGCGCUACAUCGUCGGUGCUUCGGCCUGGACUAUUCGGCCGCAAGUCGGUGAUGCGAAGGACAACCUUACUCCAUCUUAAUAAGGUUUAGGGACUACUCAAACUCAUUCAGCUCUAUUCAGCUCAUGUCCAUAGAGAGUAAUGACUUUCUAUGGACAUGAGCCGAAUAGAGCUGAAUAAGUGUGAGUAGUCUCUUAGUCUAUCACUGACGUUCAAACGCCUGCACUGAAGGCAAUUGUUAGGUUAUCAUUGUUAUAGUGUUGUUACAUGUUCAACUCUGUUACGUUUGACUUUUUUAGCAAAUUUGUUAAUCAUUAUUAGGCACAAUUAUUAUGUUACACUAGUGAAUAAAAUACAUUUAACAAUAGUUAGAUCAUUGACUUAGGACACUAUUUGAGCGAAACCGUGAACCGUUUUAAACAUCUGGUACAAACUCUACAACUCUCAAAAAAGACUUUCUCAAUAGAAUAAGUUAUAUUAAAUAGUAGUAAGGACAUCCGUUUUCCCUACGAGAAAACGUUACACAAAGACGUAGUAAAGUGAAAAUAAAGUAGGCUUACUGGUUAAUCAUAAUACAAAUGAACCUAAUUAGAUUUAAGAUCGUAUGUGUGUAGUUCGUGUGAAAAAAACAAAAAAAAAAAAAACAAAAAAAAAAAACAAAAGAAAAAACAAAAAAAAAACAAAAAACAUAAAAUGUAAAUAGGUGUUACCAAAAAAAAUAUAAAAUCAAAAUAUACAAAAAAAUGUAGUAUUAAGGCAUGUCAUCAUAUAAUCAUUUAGAGGUAGUUGACUUAAUCAUAUAACUUAGAUAACUGUAGUUUAAGAAUGUGAGUUCUUGUAAGAAUGCUAGGUAUGUGUAGGAGUGUAGGUGUAAGUCUCGUUCCCCCUAUCCGCGAGUAUCGUAUAUAUCUUGUAUCAUCUCCUGUGUAUGUGUGUGGUGUGUCUCGAUCUAGAAAUGUCUAUGCACGGUCGUCUUCGUGAUGUAUAUUUGCCCCCAACCAAUGUGUUCAAGAGUUAAAAGAGUACGUGUGCUUAUCCACGUCGUUGUAUUAAAGUUUAUUAAAUGUUUAUCGGUGAGUCCGAAUUCUAUCUGGCCCCCCUUCCUCCCAAUUUGUUUUUCGUACAUUCAGUUUAGGAUUGUGUUUCUCUUGUAUCCCCUUUGAAAAUUUCGUCUCGGUUCACAAUGUUAGGUAACGGUUAACAGUCAGUAUUCAAAUGAAACAAUAGUAUGCGCUUAACGCAAAAUUGUACUUCAAAUUCGUAACAAAAGUAAAAAAUAUUAAAACAUUCUUAACUCUGACACAAAUGUCCAAAAAUCUCAAGUCUCUCUCCAUCAAUAAUAUUAGGUUCGUAUAAAUUUUCUCAUCAUCAUGAAGUGGACAGUGUGUUUAGACUAGUUUUGAUGCCGACGGCAACCUUUUGACCUCAAUCGGCGCAACAAUUUGUUCAGCUGUCAGGAAUAAGGACGGGUUACUCUUGGUUUGCCGUGAACAAUUCCACGGCAACCAAAAGUUAAUCGUCUUAGACUGGCGAACAAAUUUUGCGUCUUCAGUUCAGCGUCCAAUCGUGGUAACAUCUCAUGAUUAAGGGCCAUAGAGGUCUAAUACCAACUCUUCGAGUGUGGCUGUGUUGGUUGUGGAAUCGUGACGGUGCUUCAUUAUGUAGAGCGGCUUUUCGCUUGCAAUACAUGAUGUUUAUCGCCAUCGUGCUACCACAACCAUUACCGACUGUACUUCUUCAAGAGUUGGUGCUAGACCCCGUCUCGGUACAAACUAGUCAGGCAUCUCGUAUGACACCGUGUGGCUACAGUUUCAAACAUCCUGUGCGAUUAUAGUUUUCGUAUAGUUCACGUCCCAUCUUUAAAGCCCCUUCUUUUUUGUACUUGACAUGUUAAUUUGAAUAUCGGACCAUACUUAGGAUGUAGUUUCAUUAUCAUAUAGCAUUAUAUACAUAGGUGUAGAAUUAAUUGUGUUUAUUGGAUCUAGGUUAAGGUAGGGGUUAGUUAGUUUUAAUCACGUUUUAUUAUAGCUUGGUGUUCUAGGUCUAAGUAGGUUUAGAAAUAGCUUUUCUGUACCACACUGACAAAAAUUCAAAAACCAUGGAAUAAAGGAUAACCAAAAAACAUGGCCGCGCCGUAUCGAAACCAAACAUAAGCCAUUAGGUCCAUACUAUCAGGAACCUAGAGUUCAGGCAACCAGCGCAGUAAAACUACAACCACAAUAGGCAAUAGACAACCGCCAUCCCUCCGCCUUCAGGCUUUCAAAUUCCAAAGAAAAAACAUAUUCGGGGAUGUCGGCCAUCCAAUUCGACCUAAUAGGAACAUCUAUAGAGCUCAAAAUGAAAUACCCUUAUGAGGCUCGUGCAAUCACCGCUGUUACAUCAAGCGUGUGCUCGUCUUGUGCGUUAUGCUAAAACGUACACUUUCGGACAAACAAUCAGUAUGAACAACUAAAAAAUCCCCUCGCAACCGGACUAGCCUUCAAUGAGGGGUGCCCUGUCAGUCUUGUCUUACUAAAUUCAACGGCCGCAGUCAUCAAAAAACCAUCUUCAAAUUUAAAAAUUACAAUUACACUUGAAUUCAAGAAAUCAUAGUUUCUGGUCUAAACUGUAGGCAUAUUAUAAAAAAAAUAUUACUAAACAACUGCUGUAACUAUCGAACGAGAACGUCAAAUCUAAAACAACUUUAACAGUUAAGACACGAAAUUUGUAAAAAUAUGACAUAAGUAGACUAUACUCUAUAAUAAAUUAUAAUGAUCAAAUUAUUUCGCUAAGACACUGACAUCCUAUAAAAUUGACAACUAAUUGAAUCGCUUUGAAAAUUAUGCUAUCAAAUAUCUGAUUAAUCCAAGUCUUGCCGAGUCACUGUAAUCGUUCAAUGUGACCGCAAAUAAAACAAAAAAUGACAUUUUGAAUUGUAAAAAUUCUUCCCCCCCCCCCUCUCUCUCUCCUCCCACCUGAUUGACUAUACUAUGCUGUACAAACAUAAAGAGACUCCCAAUACCCAAUAUGACAAACUAUAAUAAGAGAUACACUGAUAUCAUGCCGCCUUUGUCAUUCUCCAGCGGAAUGACGAAGACAGCAUGGUAUCCUAGAGUGACUCACAUUAUAGUGACUUUUUUGACUGACAACAAAACCAUGACGCGACUUUGACAGCCUGUUGUAGGCUCCGGAUUCGACACCUAUUUACUUGAACAAAAACGCCCUACUGAUUACAAAUAUAUACAAACAAUCUUCAAUAAUACAGACGGUCCCAACCUUCGUCUGUUAUGAAAAAACCAGCUUCAGAAAAACCGUGUCUCUGAACCCAAACCAACAACCGGUUAUACUACAAAAUCAGACAUCUGCCCCCAGUAAACAGGGUUCUAGGGCUGGGCAUUCCAUGAAGUAAAUAGCAAAGAACUGUCGUCAACGAACCAUACCAUCGUUCUGUAAUGCUAAAUACUAAAGCAUUUAUACCAAGGAUGUGACUAAAAUUGUUUUUUUCAUUUGUUCUAUUUGUAUAUGUUUGACAGCUAGCUCGAGCUAGUAGCGCUAAACAGCAAUGCGUAUUGUCGGCUGAAUGCGAGUGUAAAUAUCGCUGGCGUCGAUUUAUUAUGUUAUCAUCUGAGUUGUUUAUAUUUAAACAGUACACCGCGAACAAGUCGAUGCGGGAAUCGUAUAACAUCUGUGGUCUACUCCCACUACAAACUCUUAAAGCAGGACUGAUGCCGUUGUUGUAGAAGCGAGGCACCACAAUACAUGCGCUUUGUGGCGGCUUGCUUCCACAACAGCAUCAGUAACCGCUUUGAGAGACCUCAUAGGAAGGGUAGAUUGCUUCUAUUGACGCUUGCGUCACACGCAGCGAUAUCGACCUCUAUUGCUGCUUCUGCUCACACAAUACAACAAACCGCGCCGACUGCUCAUGGCGUACUGUUUAAACUUCUGUUUUAACUGUGUUCCUUCCAACCUCCACAGCUUCGCAAAUUAACACAGUUCUCUUCGCCGUAUCGGAAAAGAAAACAAUGUUAAACUGCGAAACGUAUAGAAAAAGUUUAUUUUUCGAAACAAAAAGACUGAUUUCUUACAAAUUACACUUUUGAUCUCUAUAUUUUUUUUUAGUAGUAAAUUAAUGUUUGGUUAUCCCUGAUCUACCAAUAACAUCUAUCGAGCUUAGAGCCUGGAAAGAAGGCUUCUAAUUAACAGGAUUAUCGGAUUCUGAAGACAUGAGGAAGUUGCAAAAUUGAGUAAAAAUUAUAUAUGUACUUUGAAGACUAGCUAAGUCUCACGUUUCUGUAUAACGAUUGGGAAUAUCACCGGACUAUCAUACUAACUUAACCUCCUAUUGUAAUUGGGAGAUUGAUCUCGUUGAAAGUAAUUAUAAAUUAAGUCGUAAUCAUAUUAAAUUGUAGUACUUAAUCCUUGUUAAUUAUAGGUCGUUUGUGGUGGCACUGGUAUUGGUAUGUGCCGGUAAUUUUAUUAACAACAAAUCGAAUUAAACGGUAGCUGCUGUAAUGUAUGUGCUUAAAUGUAAUCUAAAUUAUAAUUAUUGUUAAUUAGAGAGGCAAGUUUCGAGACUCCCGUUUAGAUAAUAAGUUUAUCACUCCUAUCUCCUUUCCUAUAAACCAAAAAUGAAUAUUUUUUGAUUAUAUUUUUUUCUACCUUUUCUAUACUAUCUUCUACACAUCACUCGGUUUCCCGACGAUCUUUCGAUGCGGAAUGGACACUGUUACCUCCUAUUUAGACCUUCCCACUAAUACUAAAUAUUAAGACAAAACUUAGGCAUUUUGUGUGUGGUUUGAAACUUUUUAUUUGCAUUUUAACGGCGCCAGCUCCUUCGUGGCGGCGUGUCCACAAUGUAUGAUGGAUAAAGUUAAGAUAGUCCGUGCUAAAACACGUUGACUUAGUAGCUGUAAGGCGUGUAUCACUAGGUUUAAGAUAGAUAUAUAUAAAGGACGAAAUGUGGGUGAAUUAUAAUAGUUGAUAAGGGGUUAGAUUUUACGUCAAAUUCGGCAUUUUACAUAUAGCAUGCCGGAUCACUGACGUUAGGACAUAGUUAGUGUGUAGUACAGUUAACUCCAUUCGGCGGCAGCUGGACGGAUUAACUUAGGAUUAAUUUAGCUGUACGAAAUUAGGAUAGUAUCUUUUUGUUCGUGUUUUCAGUAGUAUACGUCGACUAGCGCGUUUAGUAUUUUUAUUUUUUAUUUUAAAGUUAAUCAAGUAGACGCGUAAUUGUACAAGUUACUCGCCUAAAUCAGUUGAUUAACUUUCAUAGGCACUCUGAGCGUUAGCCCGUUAGUCUCGUGGCGGCGGGCUUAGGUAAGGUUAGUCCGUAAAUUAGGUUAGACAGUACUUAUUUACUAAAGCUAGUUAGGUUUCGCCUCUCGUCGAGAACUCUCCGAGUGAGCCUAGUUGUAGGUAGGUCUAAGUUAGCGUACAGGCUGAAAAGCCUCUUAAUAUAUAAGAAUAGGAUUAACUAGGUUUAGUAAAGUCGUCUCGAGCGGACGCGUACGACCCUGUACCUCUUCGUACUACUUUCUAAGGUAUUAUCUGUAUACACUGGCUAACACCGCCAGAUCUAAAAUAAGUCACUUGAUAGUUGCUUGUUUGCGGUGGCUGACUUAGCUUACCCGCUCGUGCCACACAACAGAGGCGGGGAGUUGAUUUCCUUAUCUGCCGAUCACGUGCAAGGCGUAUAGUGUAUAGAGCUUAACAUACGUCCUAGGAUUUAAAUUUCUACCAUGAACAACUGAGAGCACGUCUUGUGUUCAGCUUAGUACCGUAAUGUUUGUAGUUCAGCGUUCAGUUCGCGGCGACACACCUUCGAUAGACUGGUAUUGAACACAUCAUAAUUAUAUAUAUAUAUCUUUGCCAUAUGUUUAGUAGGAACUAAUUUUAAGCGAAUAACACACCGAAACUAUAGUUGUAUAUAUUUUGCUUUUAAUAUCUAUUCGGGAAAAAUAAAUGUUAGCUGAUAUGAGUUGGGUCUAAAUAAGUCGCGAUUACGAUCAUUCGCGAGAGAAAGUCCUCUGGCAAUGAGGCCUUAACAUCUUGUUGUUUCAAUAACUUUUACUCUCAUAUCAUCGACGGAGUACAGAGUUUGUAUUAAAAGAGUUUUCGCGCUGCUUUCGGUACGAAUCCGUGAAAAAACGAUCUAGUUUUUGCCGAAAUACGCGAGUUUUGCGAGAAGAAUAAAAUUACUCGCCUCCACAAAAAUUCACACCUUCAGGAGCACUUACGAUCGAGAAAUUACUUGCAGUGGCACUUUCGAAAGCCAUCAAGCGAUUGCUUACCCGCUGCUGCAAAUAUACCUAGUACAAUGGUGGUUUAGACUUUGCCGAAACUUUCAACGUGUUGGGUACUUUUGGCUACAAUUUGGGCUUAUAUCAUUGAAAUAUAACAACUCAAAAAGAAAAAAAACUUAUAACGUAAGUUCAGUCCAAUCUUGAGAACAAAUAUUUUUAGGCUGACCCUUCACGCGUCAUUCUACCAUCCACCAUUGGAGUGUUAAGUGGAAAUUAGCGUACAACGGAGAGAAAUAUGUCAAAAUUCGCUCUAACAAGCGCGCAAACUUCUAUAUAAAUAGUUCUACGACAUCUUUUAAACGUUUUCUCACGGAGUCUAAUCAAAAGCAAAGCGAAACCUUCAGAUGAGGAAUUAAAGAAAUUAGUAUCAAAAAUCGUUUAGCGGUAUUUUAGACAACUUCGAUAAAAUGAUAAAAAAUAAAAAAAUAAAUUCUAAAUUGUUGUCUCGUAGUGUUUCCGCUUUGGUAAAAGUAAGAGAUAAAUUUCUUACGAUGGCUUUAAACUCGAUGUUAUUGCUGUUGUUGUCUGUUUAAUGUUUAAGAGUAAUGAGACUAAUUGUUAGGGAGAAUACGUUAUCAAACUCAAAAUCUUAAGAGUACCGUUUAGAGUUUGGCCUCAUUCAAACAUAUUAUUGUUGUGUGAUGCUUUGAACGUCCGAUAGCUAAAACAAUUAUUUCGGACUUGUCAGCCAAUUUGUCGCGAUGUUUACCAGUCGCCUAUUACAAGGACAUCUUUUUACACACACCUUGCAUUCGCAUUAACUUUAAAUCCUGUUGAUAAAUAAAAAACUUGUAAAAUAUACAGCAAUAUCAGGUGACUCAAAAUUAGCCAAAAUGACAUCCUCCUCGUUCGUCAAAUUUUGGACUUGCCAAAAUUGUCCUUGAAAUUUUCUCGCGUCCAUUACUGAUAUAUAACUUUGAAAAAAUACCAAAAAUAGACUUUGCCUCAUAUGUUACAAUAAAUCAGCAUCAAAAUUCCUUGAGACCACGUCAAAAAUUAACCUACGCAAAGUCACUUAAAUUCCAAAAUUGUUAAACGGUACUUUAUAGAUUUGAGGUAUAUUUCGGCACAGGUUAAAAAAAAAACUCUGAGGCUCUGCUAGUACUUACCAGAGAAAAUCUGUGACGGCACGAUCUGUGAUCAGACACGGCGUGCAGUAAUUGUAAUAAAGAUCUCUAACUUCAUCACAGAACGUCUUCAUAACAGACGUCGCCCACCUCUCUCAAAUCCAUGUACAUUCGCACACCAGGUAGGCCUCUUGUAGCACUUUUCACAUGUGUCGAUAUUAUACUGAGGUAUUUGUUAAAAUUUUGCUGCAACGCUUCUUAGAAAAAGCUUCAGGGGUUGUUAAAAGAUUGUUAAAUUGUAACAGAAUGGAUCUACCAACGAAUCCAUGAUUGUGUUGAUCUUUAAAAAAAAACUUAAAAAACUGAAAAAAAGACGUUGAGAUUGUUGUGCUUUCAGCUUAUAUUUUUUUAAUGAAAACAAUAAUUCAUUUGUCGAUUUUUUUUUCGGAAUAUUCGGUAGAAGUCAGCUGUUGUUUAUAAUCUUGAAGGAUGUUACAUGUUACCGAGUUGUUUAGUUCAACGUUAUUAAUUGUUAUGUCGUUACGCCAUUCGACCACUCACAGCUAAACAUAAAGUUUAAAAAAAGCUAAUGUACUGUAUCGCUUUUUUGGGGAAUAAGAAAAAUUUGCCUAUAAAAUCCUCUCUGUUGAGCAUAAGAUCUUCUCAAAUUAAGUCCCAUUAAGAUUCACUUUAUAGGUAAGCGAUAUGCUAAAAUUCUUCUUUUUAGAUGUGUAAAUUCGAUGUCUAAUUAUAAAUAUUAUAAUAUUAAUAUUUCGUCUUAAUCGUUGUAAAAAACUUAAUUAGUUGAAAGUAAAAUGUCUACAGCACCCAGUUUCGGUGUGUCAAUCGCAACACAUUGCCAAAUCGGUUGUCGCCUCGUCGCAGCGCGCCGAAAUUGUAUAUAUCAUAUAAUAGCGUUCGUCUUCCCGAAAUUUAACCGUAGUGUUACUUGAUUCGGGCUAACCAGCCGAUCUUGUAGCCUUCGAAUGUUCGAAAAAUACCAUCCAUUGAACCAGUUUUUGGCUUUGUAAAUGUCUGAAAUUCAGUUUGGGUUCUAUCGAACAAUUUUUUUGUAUUAUAUUCAGUAGUUUUAUAUGCCUAUACACACGAGUCAAUUGAUUGUUGCGGAAUCGAUGACUAAGUCUCCAAUGUCGCGAAGCCAGGAGUCUGUUGUGACUCGGGGAGGAAGUCGUUGCUUUUCGUAGACUUACGUUGGCUCGUGUGCGAAGGAUAUUGAAUAAUGGUACAUAGACAAGUAUAGGGAACGCCUCCAAUGACGUAAAACUGUAAAUUGUAAUCAAAACUUUCUUAUUCGCUUUCUCGGAGGCCAAAUAAUAAAAAUUGUAUCUAGUCAGGUUUGGAAGUUCAGAAAUGUGCAAUAGAAAAUACGAAAAUUCGGAUCAAUCAAGUUUUAAAAAUGAUGCAUAAUUAUCAGAUGACAAAAAAGAAGUUCCUGAUAUAAAAUCAAUAAAUUUUCAAAAUACUUAAAAAUCAAUUCUUUUGGACUUAAUAAAAACACUUAUCAUAUCAAACCAAAUUCAGAAAAUAGUUCAACUCAGAACCCAUUUAGCACAUAGUCAGAUACAUGGUCACCUCGUAAGAGUCCUAGUGGCCCUACACUUGUCUACGUGACUGAGUGUAAUAGUACCGCGGCCUGCCUUUUCGGCUCGGUCAGGGGAGACGGAUCGCUAGUAAGUAGUGUUAUCAACACCUUUAUUGUAAGUACAAGACGACGGCCAUCACCAAGAUGCCUUUAUAUUUGUUUACAAUCCAAAACGAGCUGACUUUAACAAGAAAGCAGCUGAGUGCAUUGUAUUUUCGCUUUUCGCUUUUUAUUCUACAUAUGUAAUCGUAUUUAGUUAAGUCCUGUAUCCAUGACUACGCCGACCGACGUACGUAUUUAAAUAUUUUGAUUUCAGCCACUGCACGUAGAUUUUAGAUCUAAGUAUAUGAAUAAGGUAGAUGUCUAGGUUAAGGUAGCUCCAGUUUUAAGAUUCAUGUAUCAGAUUUCUAGUUCUUAAGGUAGUGUUGUAUUCGUGUCAUCUCUUUAACUCGUUGUAUAUAUUCUUCUCGAGUUUACUAUAUUACCCACCAUCGACUGUUUAAAAACUGAAUUAUCUUCAAUUUAUAAUUACUCUUUACUUUCAACAUAUUUUUAUUUUCCUUCUCCUAUUAUUUGCCUAAAUUGGCCAACUUACUGAUAACACCCGUUGAGCAAUAUGUUUUAUUUGCUUCGUAUUGUAAUCUCUAGAUGUAUCGACUAGGACUUGCAAAUUUACUUAAUUACAUUUGAGCACAAAAACUAAACUAAACUUAAUUUUAAGCUUUAAUUUGCAUAAUUAUAUAUACUUUUAUGUAAAUGGAGAUAAAUCAACGGAAUUUGUCGCACAAAAGGCGCUAAAUCUGAUACGAACCUACAGGGUAUCGCGCGGCGGUGGUCAACGAAAACCCGACCUUAAUGCUUUAAAAUAAGUCUCUGAAUGCCAAAGUGUUGCCACCGCCUGCGGUCGACUGACGUUUUUUUAUCUCGGCCUAAGAGUGCAACUCUAGGAAACUAUUGUACUAAGUUAAUAAAUUGUAAGCUUUUCAGCGUCCAUUGUGAUUCAUUAAAAAACUAAACUGUCUUCGAAAUACUGUUUACAAAUCACAUUUGUUUCAGUGCAAAAGGAUUUAUUUAUAAGAUACCCAAUUUCGUAGUUUCCGGGUACAUUGUAUCGUAUUAUAUUCAGGGAAAUUUUUCGAUGUGAUAGUUAUUAGUAGUGUACCCUCUUUCGAAUAAUAAAUUUACUAAAAGUAAACUUUUCGUGUCUGUAA
Trichoplusia ni (cabbage looper) is the source of this 20525-nucleotide long non-coding RNA. RefSeq lists it as uncharacterized. NCBI's taxonomy places the organism in Eukaryota, Metazoa, Arthropoda, Insecta, Lepidoptera, Noctuidae. The record is from RefSeq and is a predicted model, not a curated record. The transcript is spliced from 2 exons.